GACGGACGGUGCAAGCGUUGCUCGGAAUCACUGGGCGUAAAGGGUGCGUAGGCGGCUUGGUAAGUUGGGUGUGAAAGCCCCGGGCUCAGCCCGGGAAGGGCACUCGAAACUGCCGAGCUGGAGUGCCGGAGGGGAGAGUGGAAUUCCUGGUGUAGCGGUGAAAUGCGUAGAUAUCAGGAGGAAUACCGGUGGCGAAAGCGACUCUCUGGACGGCAACUGACGCUGAGGCACGAAAGCGUGGGGAGCAAACAGG
This 253-nucleotide ribosomal RNA is filed under the name uncultured bacterium. RNAcentral describes it as "partial 16S ribosomal RNA". It matches the Rfam family "Bacterial small subunit ribosomal RNA", at positions 524 to 776 of the family's 1533-position model. The record is from RNAcentral.